Molecule: long non-coding RNA, 1630 nt
Organism: Macaca fascicularis (crab-eating macaque)
Lineage: Eukaryota; Metazoa; Chordata; Mammalia; Primates; Cercopithecidae
Source: Ensembl
UUUUUUUUUUUUUUUUUGAGAUGAGUCUCGCUGUGUCGCCCAGGCUGGAGUGCAGUGGCCGGAUCUCAGCUCACUGCAAGCUCUGCCUCCCGGGUUUUUACGCCAUUCUCCUGCCUCAGCCUCCCGAGUAGCCGGGACUACAGAGCCACCCUCGCCCGGCUAGUUUUUUGUAUUUUUUAGUAGAGACGGGGUUUCACCGUGUUAGCCAGGAUGGUCUCGAACUCCUGACCUCGUGAUCUGCUCGUCUCGGCCUCCCAAAGUGCUGGGAUUACAGGCUUGAGCCACCGCGCCCGGCCAGAUGGAUUUUCUUUUGAUUAAUGGAUUCCAAAAAGAAUGGAGCAAUUCCUCCUGCUACUACCAACCUCCCUGUUCUUAAGCAAGUUGUUUAACCUCUCCAGGACUUGUAUUUCUCACUCUUAAGUGACAUUAGUAAGAGGAAUUCUAUGGAUCUCCUGAAAGGCAUGAGUGGAAGAUUAAAAAAAAAACAGUUGGAAACUUUCUUAUUACCUGGUUGUGGUGAUGCACACCUGCAGUCUCAGCUACUUACUCCGGAGGCUGAGGUGGAAGGAUUGCUUGAGCCUGGGAAGUUGAGGCUUCAGUGAGCUGUAGUAGUGCCACUGCACUCUAGCCUGGGCAACAGAGUGAGAUCAGAAAGAAGGAAGGGAGGAAGGAAGGAAGGAAGGAAGGAAGGAAGGAAGGAAGGAAGGAAGGAAGGAAGGAAGGAAGGAAGGAAGGAAGGAAGGAAGGAAGGAAGGAAGGAAGGAAGGAAGGAAACAAAACACUUUCUUGAAAGUUAAGCCAGGUGCAGAGGCUCACACUUGUGAUCCCAGAACUUUGGGAAGUGGAGGCGGGGAGAUGGCUUGAGGCCAGAAGUCCCAGACCAGCCUGGAAAACAUAGCAAGUGGCUCCAUCUCUACAAAAUAAAGUCAGCAGAGUGUGGUGGUGUGUCUGUGUAGUCCUAGCUACUCAGGAGGCUGAGGCAGGAGGGUCGUUUGAGCUCAGGAGUUUGAGGCUGCAGUGAGCUAGGAUUGCGACACUGCACUUCAGCUUGGGCAACAGAGGGAGACCCUGUCUCUAAAACAAAACAAAAAGAAAGGAAAAAGAAAGUUAAAAGUCCUGUAUUUUAUACAUAGAUCAUUGUCACCAGUGUAAUCACAAAGGGCCAAGUGUGAUCACCAGUACAGUGAGAGCCAGAUAUAGUAUGGUUUUCUUCUUUGAGGUCCAUAGGCCCCCACAGUUCCUGUGUGUAUAUCUUGCUCAUCAGAAUCUUCUCCUUUGAAUGAGAGACACAGAAAAACAUAUUCAAGAGAGAAAUAGCGAUGAAAAAUGUGUGAUUCUGAUAAUGGUUCAGGAAGGAAACACCUUUCUUUGGAUGUAAAUUGAGGUUACCUGGGAGCUGAGGAGAGAGGUUCCUGUGUGACUCCAAGAUCUUUUGGGCAGGUUUGUGUGAUGUGGCCUCGUCCUUAUAGUAAGGAGGAUAAGAACGACUGGGAAAGAAACAUUAAAGAUAUGUGUGAGAGUGGGGAAAUUGAUGGUGUGAUAAUGAUAAUGACAGCUACUAUUUAUCUAAUGGCUACCAAAUGCCAGGCGCUUUACUCAGCUUUGUACUACAUUCAUCUCUCAUCUUCCC